GAACGCCCGGGCUUCGGCCUGGUUAUUCAUAACCCUUUGUUGUCCGACUCUGUUGCCUCCGGGGCGACCCUGCCUUCGGGCGGGGGCUCCGGGUGGACACUUCAAACUCUUGCGUAACUUUGCAGUCUGAGUAAACUUAAUUAAUAAAUUAAAACUUUUAACAACGGAUCUCUUGGUUCUGGCAUCGAUGAAGAACGCAGCGAAAUGCGAUAAGUAAUGUGAAUUGCAGAAUUCAGUGAAUCAUCGAAUCUUUGAACGCACAUUGCGCCCCCUGGUAUUCCGGGGGGCAUGCCUGUUCGAGCGUCAUUUCACCACUCAAGCCUCGCUUGGUAUUGGGCAACGCGGUCCGCCGCGUGCCUCAAAUCGUCCGGCUGGGUCUUCUGUCCCCUAAGCGUUGUGGAAACUAUUCGCUAAAGGGUGUUCGGGAGGCUACGCCGUAAAACAACCCCAUUUCUAAGGUUGACCUCGGAUCAGGUAGGGAUACCCGCUGAACUUAAGCAUAUC
Molecule: ribosomal RNA, 504 nt
Filed under: uncultured fungus
Lineage: Eukaryota; Fungi
Description: eukaryotic LSU rRNA
Rfam family: 5.8S ribosomal RNA (bases 153-306)
Source: RNAcentral